GAUGAACGCUGGCGGCGUGCCUAACACAUGCAAGUCGAACGGAGCUGCUUUGAUGAGAUCUUCGGAUGGAUUUAAAACAGCUUAGUGGCGGACGGGUGAGUAACGCGUGGGUAACCUGCCUCACACUGGGGGAUAACAGUUAGAAAUAGCUGCUAAUACCGCAUAAGCGCACGGUUCCGCAUGGAACAGUGUGAAAAACUCCGGUGGUGUGAGAUGGACCCGCGUCUGAUUAGCCAGUUGGCGGGGUAACGGCCCACCAAAGCGACGAUCAGUAGCCGGCCUGAGAGGGUNAACGGCCACAUUGGGACUGAGACACGGCCCCAAAUCCUACGGGAGCAGCAGUGGGGAGUAUUGCACAAUGGGGGAAACCCUGAUGCAGCGA
This 382-nucleotide ribosomal RNA is filed under the name uncultured bacterium. RNAcentral describes it as "bacterial SSU rRNA". It matches the Rfam family "Bacterial small subunit ribosomal RNA", at positions 28 to 394 of the family's 1533-position model. The record is from RNAcentral.